Chelonoidis abingdonii (Abingdon island giant tortoise) is the source of this 107-nucleotide non-coding RNA. The record is from RefSeq and is a predicted model, not a curated record. NCBI's taxonomy places the organism in Eukaryota, Metazoa, Chordata, Testudines, Testudinidae.
UAAUUUUUGUGCCUCUUGCUGGACUCUCUCCAAUUUGUCCACACCCUUUCUAUAGUGGAGACCCAAAACUGAUGCACUACUCCAGAUUAGAUCUCACCAAUGCAAAA